Molecule: ribosomal RNA, 497 nt
Filed under: uncultured bacterium
Lineage: Bacteria
Description: partial 16S ribosomal RNA
Rfam family: Bacterial small subunit ribosomal RNA
Source: RNAcentral
GAUGAACGCUGGCGGCGUGCCUAAUACAUGCAAGUCGAGCGAACAGAUGAGGAGCUUGCUCCUCUGACGUUAGCGGCGGACGGGUGAGUAACACGUGGAUAACCUACCUAUAAGACUGGGAUAACUUCGGGAAACCGGAGCUAAUACCGGAUAAUAUAUUGAACCGCAUGGUUCAAUAGUGAAAGACGGUUUUGCUGUCACUUAUAGAUGGAUCCGCGCCGCAUUAGCUAGUUGGUAAGGUAACGGCUUACCAAGGCAACGAUGCGUAGCCGACCUGAGAGGGUGAUCGGCCACACUGGAACUGAGACACGGUCCAGACUCCUACGGGAGGCAGCAGUAGGGAAUCUUCCGCAAAGGGCGAAAGCCUGACGGAGCAACGCCGCGUGAGUGAUGAAGGUCUUCGGAUCGUAAAACUCUGUUAUUAGGGAAGAACAAAUGUGUAAGUAACUAUGCACGUCUUGACGGUACCUAAUCAGGAAGCCACGGCUAACUACGUG